AGGCUGUGCUCGAAAGAGAACCUGCACACAGGUGCUGCAUGGCUGUCGUCAGCUCGUGUCGUGAGAUGUUGGGUUAAGUCCCGCAACGAGCGCAACCCUUGCCAUUAGUUGCUACGAAAGGGCACUCUAAUGGGACUGCCGGUGACAAACCGGAGGAAGGUGGGGAUGACGUCAAGUCCUCAUGGCCCUUAUAGGUGGGGCUACACACGUCACACAAUGGCCGGUACAAAGGGCUGCAAACCCGCGAGGGGGAGCCAAUCCAUCAAAGCCGGUCGUAGUCCGGAUCGCAGUCUGCAACUCGACUGCGUGAAGUCGGAAUCGCUAGUAAUCGUGGAUCAGCAUGUCACGGUGAAUACGUUCCCGGGUCUU
This 369-nucleotide ribosomal RNA is filed under the name uncultured Comamonadaceae bacterium. RNAcentral describes it as "bacterial SSU rRNA". It matches the Rfam family "Bacterial small subunit ribosomal RNA", at positions 1009 to 1382 of the family's 1533-position model. The record is from RNAcentral. Lineage: Bacteria; Pseudomonadati; Pseudomonadota; Betaproteobacteria; Burkholderiales; Comamonadaceae.